RNAcentral lists this ribosomal RNA (254 nucleotides) under uncultured bacterium. RNAcentral's name for it is "partial 16S ribosomal RNA". It matches the Rfam family "Bacterial small subunit ribosomal RNA", at positions 524 to 776 of the family's 1533-position model. The record is from RNAcentral.
UACGUAGGAGACGAGCGUUGUCCGGAGUUACUGGGCGUAAAGGGUGCGCAGGCGGCCUGGCGCGUCGCGAGUGAAAUCUCCUGGCUCAACUGGGAGGGUGGUCGCGGAGACGGCUGGGCUUGAGGCUCGGUGAGGGGCGUGGAAUUCCGGGUGGAGCGGUGAAAUGCGUAGAGAUCCGGAGGAACACCGACGGCGUAGGCAGCGCCCUAGACGAGACCUGACGCUCAGGCACGAAAGCGCGGGGAGCGAACAGG